Molecule: ribosomal RNA, 253 nt
Filed under: uncultured bacterium
Lineage: Bacteria
Description: partial 16S ribosomal RNA
Rfam family: Bacterial small subunit ribosomal RNA
Source: RNAcentral
UACGAAGGAUGCAAGCGUUAUCCGGAUUCAUUGGGUUUAAAGGGUGCGUAGGUGGCCUUAUAAGUCAGUGGUGAAAUCUCUGGGCUUAACCCAGAAAUUGCCAUUGAUACUGUAGGGCUUGAGUAUAGUUGCCGUUGGCGGAAUAUGACAUGUAGUGGUGAAAUACAUAGAGAUGUCAUAGAACACCGAUUGCGAAGGCAGCUGACGAAACUAUAACUGACACUGAGGCUCGAAAGUGCGGGGAUCAAACAGG